Molecule: ribosomal RNA, 497 nt
Filed under: uncultured bacterium
Lineage: Bacteria
Description: partial 16S ribosomal RNA
Rfam family: Bacterial small subunit ribosomal RNA
Source: RNAcentral
GAUGAACGCUGGCGGCGUGCCUAAUACAUGCAAGUCGAGCGAACAGAUGAGGAGCUUGCUCCUCUGACGUUAGCGGCGGACGGGUGAGUAACACGUGGAUAACCUACCUAUAAGACUGGGAUAACUUCGGGAAACCGGAGCUAAUACCGGAUAAUAUAUUGAACCGCAUGGUUCAAUAGUGAAAGACGGUUUUGCUGUCACUUAUAGAUGGAUCCGCGCCGCAUUAGCUAGUUGGUAAGGUAACGGCUUACCAAGGCAACGAUGCGUAGCCGACCUGAGAGGGUGAUCGGCCACACUGGAACUGAGACACGGUCCAGACUCCUACGAGAGGCAGCAGUAGGGAAUCUUCCGCAAUGGGCGAAAGCCUGACGAAGCAACGCCGCGUGAGUGAUGAAGGUCUUCGGAUCGUAAAACUCUGUUAUUAGGGAAGAACAAAUGUGUAAGUAACUAUGCACGUCUUGACGGUACCUAAUCAGAAAGCCACGGCUAACUACGUG